RNAcentral lists this ribosomal RNA (463 nucleotides) under uncultured bacterium. RNAcentral describes it as "bacterial SSU rRNA". It matches the Rfam family "Bacterial small subunit ribosomal RNA", at positions 339 to 793 of the family's 1533-position model. The record is from RNAcentral.
UUACGGGAGGCAGCAGUGGGGAAUCUUGCGCAAUGGGCGAAAGCCUGACGCAGCAACGCCGCGUGUGUGAUGAAGGUCUUCGGAUCGUAAAGCACUGUCGCGAGGGACGAAUAAGGGCUGGGUGAACAAUCCAGUCCGAUGACGGUACCUCGAGAGGAAGCACCGGCUAACUCUGUGCCAGCAGCCGCGGUAAUACAGAGGGUGCUAGCGUUGUUCGGAAUUAUUGGGCGUAAAGCGCGUGUAGGCGGCUUAGCAAGUCAGGUGUGAAAGCCCUCGGCUUAACCGAGGAAGUGCGCCUGAAACUGCUGAGCUUGAGUACCGGAGAGGGCGGUGGAAUUCCCGGUGUAGAGGUGAAAUUCGUAGAUAUCGGGAGGAACACCAGCGGCGAAGGCGACCGCCUGGACGGCUACUGACGCUGAGACGCGAAAGCGUGGGGAGCAAACAGGAUUAGAUACCCGAGUAC